UGUUGAAAUACAAAAGUAAGUAUGUUUUUAUCGUCUCCACAGGGACUGAUGCGAUAUCAAUGCCGUUCAACAAUUAAUAUAAUUUCAAGUAAAGGAUUUCAAAGAUGGUUGAUUACGAAAGUUGCGAAUAUAUGAAAGUAAUAGAGAUGAUUAAUUUGACAGAGAGAUUAAAUUGCUGGGAUUAGAUUUCAAUCACUCAUUCAUACAUAUUCCCCUAAUCAGUUACACAGGUUCUAGUCAUCUAUUAAUAUUAUCACGUAUCGCUCGUCGAACAUUUCCGUGUCCAGAUAACGCCGAGAUAUCUAUUGCAUCUAUUAACCUCCGAUGUCUCGGAUCGUCAAUCAAUACAAUAGCAUUAAGAUUCGAUACUCUGAGUGAAUAUUAAACCUAAAUCUAUGUCUAGAAUUUAGAGUUUAAUAGAUAUUAUCCUAGUUCUUAGAUUCAAAAGGUAUAUGUCUAUACAAUUCAAAUCAAAGAUUAAAACAACGAAAACAAAAAUAACAUCAAUAUUGAGAGACAACUAAAACCAUAUAUAAAACCAUGAUCAAUAGAAACACAUACUAAUAGAGUAAUUUACACUAAUCCCAACAAAAGUGUCUUUAGCUACUCAUUACCAUGGUAGCUUUACACAAGUGAGAAGAAAAGAGAUGAAAUAACAACACCGGUGUCGAUUUCUCGAACGGUUGGCGUGCAUCCCACCUUUGCUUUGCUCUCGUUUCUUCCGUGCUUCAGUCCUCCCUGUUUCUUUAGUUUGGGCGUGUUGUGUGAGAGUUUUGGAAUGAAUUGAAUUUUCAAGGAAUGGCUUCACAUGCCUUUUAUAGGCUUUUAAUGCUAAGCAAAUUGCACAAGGCGGUGCUUACACUAUGAUGAUAUCCUUCAUGGCUAAGUUAGCUUUUAUAAUNNNNNNNNNNNNNNNNNNNNNNNNNNNNNNNNNNNNAAUUGUGCCUCUUCAUAAUUUUGGUCCAAUGACAAUUUUUCUUAGUCUCCAAUAGGUCUCAUUGCUUCUAUUUUUCCAUUAAGCUCAUAAAACCUACAAAAAUGUAUUGGAAUUAGGUAGAAAUAACAUAAAUGACUAAUUUGUUAAUUAAAACUAUAUUUACAAUUAGUUGGUUUUUUUAUAUGAAAUUACUUUUAAAACAAGUCAAUAAGUGCCCAAAAUAUAUAUGUAAAAUUACCACUUUUUGGCACUUAUCAACUCUCCCCAACUUAGAACUUUGUUUGUCCUCAAACAAAAGUCCAAAAUAAACUCUCAAAAUAUGGUUCAAACAUCCGUGCAUGAUUCAAUCAAGAUUUAUGAUCAAUCAAAAACUUUGGAUUUCAAUCAUUUCAAGUUUGCAUGAUUCAAUGUAUUGCAAGUUCAAAAUCAAACCUUCAUAAUCAUCAAAAAAUCAAAGCAUGAAUGUGAAAUAGUUUCAAAAUUCAAGUAAGAUUUCAAACUUUCCAAAUCAACAAGACAAUCAACUAGAAUCACAAUUCUCACAAAUGUUUCAACUCAAGGGUGUAGUGUUUCUCUCAAUCCAAGCAAUGUGUUCACAACAAAUCAAUUCAAACAUACAUCUUAACAUAAUCACAAGACAUGUUAUCAAUCAUGGAUCACUAAGGUCUUUCUUAAGCUUGUAAUGGGGCUAGGCUACAAGAAAUCAUUGUUUUUCUUUGGAUUCAAAAUGCCUUAAGGAUAAGAGAGCAUAGACUUUGAGUAUCUUCAUAACAUUACAUAAGUUAUUCAUCCUCUUUCACUUUCCCCAUUCUUUACUUUUGGUGAUUCUUUUGACACAAUUUCUAUUCAUUUCCUUUUCUUUUGAAACACAUUUUCUUUGAUUUUCAUUUGUGUGUCAAAUGACUUACAAUGUUUUUCUUUUUCAAUCACCAUCUUCAAUAUCUCAUAUUUUUCAACUACUUUUUUAUUUUUUUAUUUUACAAAUAACCUCUUUCUCCCCAACUUGUUUUCAACCCUACUUAAAUUCAAUGCUCAAUCAUCCUAAGACAAGGGUUAAGUCAUUGUUUUUCUUUAUUGUGGUUCAAGGGUUCAAAAUCAAACAAAAUUUCAAAUUUUUUGGCUCAAGGGGGUAGCAAAGGAUCACACUAACUCACAAGGUAGGUUAUUUUGGCUUAAGUAGUUAUCACUCAAAAAGAAACAUGGCCUUGAUCAUUUCCAUGACUUCAAACACAUCAAGUAAUAGCAAGAUUCAGUUAAAAUCAACAGAGUUAANNNNNNNNNNNNAGGUCUACGUGAUUCAAAAUCAAUUAAUCAUGUUAAGAAGGAAUGGAUGAAAUCAAAUUGAAUAAAGCUACUUGGUUCAAAUUCAUCCUAUCAUUCAAAGAUAAUCACAAAUAUUUGACCUCAAA
Molecule: long non-coding RNA, 2346 nt
Filed under: Trifolium pratense (red clover)
Lineage: Eukaryota; Viridiplantae; Streptophyta; Magnoliopsida; Fabales; Fabaceae
Description: long non-coding RNA (TPRA_LNC006461)
Source: RNAcentral